UCUUCUUAAUCCAAAGUUUGGCGUGAUGACCCAUGUAUACUUAUUGCCAAUUUCGAUCACCACUUUAGCGCUGGAACCUUCCACGCAAUUUCUCUGACAAGUGUAGCCACUGCAGUGAUAACAUUUUGGAAAAGACAUUUUAUAUCUGGGAAUCUAAAAUGUACUUUUGAAAUCAACUGCAGCCACUUCAUCUUCCUAAAAUAAUACAAAACCGCCUUAAAAUAGAAUAGAAGAGAUUAUAUUUCGCUUCCGGUGUAAUAAUCACGGUAAUAUGGCAUAUUUAGAUCUUUCAAUUGUGCAUUUAAAAAAUUUAAAAUUUUAUUGUGAAAAAUGAUAUUAAAUAUCAGUGUAUCCGAUUUGCGUGAGCAAAAACACGAUAUUUUAAAUAAACACGAACAUACAAAUCGUUCAUAAA
This is a long non-coding RNA of Cataglyphis hispanica, 415 nucleotides long. RefSeq lists it as uncharacterized. The record is from RefSeq and is a predicted model, not a curated record. The transcript is spliced from 2 exons. NCBI's taxonomy places the organism in Eukaryota, Metazoa, Arthropoda, Insecta, Hymenoptera, Formicidae.